RNAcentral lists this ribosomal RNA (930 nucleotides) under uncultured bacterium. Its description in RNAcentral is "bacterial SSU rRNA". It matches the Rfam family "Bacterial small subunit ribosomal RNA", at positions 8 to 916 of the family's 1533-position model. The record is from RNAcentral.
AGAGUUUGAUCAUGGCUCAGAAUCAACGCUGGCGGCGUGCCUAACACAUGCAAGUCGAACGCGAAAGUCCCGCAAGGGAUGAGUAGAGUGGCAAACGGGUGAGUAACACGUGGGUGACCUGCCUUCGAGCGGGGGAUAACGUCCCGAAAGGGACGCUAAUACCGCAUAACAUCCUGCCUUUGAAGAGGUGGUGAUCAAAGCUGGGGAUCGCAAGACCUAGCACUCGAAGAGGGGCCCGCGUCCGAUUAGCUAGUUGGUGAGGUAAUGGCUCACCAAGGCAACGAUCGGUAGCCGGCCUGAGAGGGCGGACGGCCACACUGGGACUGAGACACGGCCCAGACUCCUACGGGAGGCAGCAGUGGGGAAUUGUUCGCAAUGGGCGCAAGCCUGACGACGCAACGCCGCGUGGAGGAUGAAGACCUUCGGGUCGUAAACUCCUUUCGAUCGAGACGAAUUCCUCCGGGGUGAACAAUCCCGGAGGUUGACGGUACCGAGAGAAGAAGCCCCGGCUAACUCCGUGCCAGCAGCCGCGGUAAUACGGGGGGGGCAAGCGUUGUUCGGAAUUACUGGGCGUAAAGGGCUCGUAGGUGGCCAACUAAGUCGGACGUGAAAUCCCUCGGCUUAACCGGGGAACUGCGUCCGAUACUGGUUGGCUUGAGUUUGGGAGAGGGAUGCGGAAUUCCAGGUGUAGCGGUGAAAUGCGUAGAUAUCUGGGGGAACACCGGUGGCGAAGGCGGCAUCCUGGACCAAUACUGACGCUGAGGAGCGAAAGCCAGGGGAGCAAACGGGAUUAGAUACCCCGGUAGUCCUGGCCCUAAACGAUGAAUGCUUGGUGUGGCGGGUAUCGAUCCCUGCCGUGCCGAAGCUAACGCAUUAAGCAUUCCGCCUGGGGAGUACGGUCGCAAGGCUGAAACUCAAAUGAAUUGACGG